AUUGAACGCUGGCGGCAGGCCUAAUACAUGCAAGUCGAGCGUGCGGCGGACGGGUGAGUAAUGUAUGGGGACUGCCCGAUAGCGGCGGAUAACUACUGGAUCCGGUAGCUAAUACCGUAUACAAUAGGAUCACCCAUAGUGGAUUAGCUAGUCGGUGAGGUAAUGGCUCACCUAGGCGACGAUCCCUAGCCGAUCUGAGAGGAUGAUCAGCCACACUGGGACUGCGACACGGCCCAGACUCCUACGGAGGCAGCAGUGGGGAAUAUUGCACAAUGGGCGAAAGCCUGAGGCAGCCAUGCCGCGUGUGUGAAGAAGGCCCUAGGAUUGUAAAGUACUUUCAGUCGUGAGGCGUUACCGACAGAGGAAGCACCGGCUAACUCCGUGCCAGCAGCCGCGGUAAUUC
RNAcentral lists this ribosomal RNA (403 nucleotides) under uncultured bacterium. RNAcentral describes it as "partial 16S ribosomal RNA". It matches the Rfam family "Bacterial small subunit ribosomal RNA", at positions 30 to 526 of the family's 1533-position model. The record is from RNAcentral.